Molecule: long non-coding RNA, 489 nt
Organism: Olea europaea var. sylvestris
Lineage: Eukaryota; Viridiplantae; Streptophyta; Magnoliopsida; Lamiales; Oleaceae
Exons: 2
Source: RefSeq, a predicted model, not a curated record
UUGGGAUUGUGAUGAUUAUAGAUUCAAAUGAUCUAAUUGAAGCAAGAUGUCGAGCUCGAACGACUCAUAGGGCGGCUCUUAUUUGGCAUUUCUAUAUACUAACUCCAAUGACAUGCCAAAGGAGAGUUGCCCUGUGAGUGAUUUAGCUUAGUAAUAAUAUUAUGGAAUUAUAGCAAACUCUUCUAGCUUUGCUUCUUGUUUUGUUCCUAAUCUGGUGUAUGAAGCAUGGAUACGAUAGAAGAAAAAGAAAACUCUCCAAUCCUAGAGGAUUGGAAGACGAAUCUCGCUAGUUGGGACAGGACUUAAAGUUGGUCGUUUUUUGAGCUUUCCUUUUUGCGAUUCCCAAUUCGUGUUUUAUCCAACAUUUUUGCAGCUGCUGUCUCUUCCAAUCUUUAGCAUUCUCAUCUUUGUCAUGCAUAUUUAUCUCGUAAUCAGUCUUUAUCAUCUAAUGGUUAUUUAGGAAGAGUUAAUUUAAACACUCUUGAUUGU